GAAUUCACCCAGUUCAUAUCGACUCUACCUUCUGAUGCUCAGGAGGCAUAUAGGAGACGGUUUUUGGCGGAUCAGGCUGGGACUUCUCGACAAGGUGGAGUUGGUGAUGAGGAUGAGGAUGAUGAUGAUCGGGACUGAGUUUAUUUGUUUUAACAUUAAAAACAAUGGGUGUG
Molecule: long non-coding RNA, 173 nt
Organism: Asparagus officinalis (garden asparagus)
Lineage: Eukaryota; Viridiplantae; Streptophyta; Magnoliopsida; Asparagales; Asparagaceae
Exons: 2
Source: RefSeq, a predicted model, not a curated record